This 1072-nucleotide long non-coding RNA is filed under the name Ananas comosus (pineapple). RNAcentral describes it as "long non-coding RNA (ACOM_LNC024575)". Lineage: Eukaryota; Viridiplantae; Streptophyta; Magnoliopsida; Poales; Bromeliaceae. The record is from RNAcentral.
UAUAUAUAUAUAUAUAUAUAGCUAGGGCUACUAUACUUAUAUGAGUAUAGAGCCCUUUGUACUCAUAAAUUUUCAGCUGUUCAGAUGAAAAAAUAUACGGUUAGGAUGAAAGUGGUUACGGUUAGGUUGAUAGUGGGCCUCCUAGGGUUGAGUGGGUGAUUGGUUGAAUAGUAUAAUCUAACGGGUGAAAAUGAUUAAAGGGUAGAUCUAACGGUGAAAAACUUAUGAGUACAAGAGGCUCUAUACUCAUAAGAGUAUAGUAGCCGGACUCAUAUAUAUAUAUAUAUUAUCUAUUACGCAAGAAAAUAAUUCCUAAUUAUUAUUUUAAGUAUUAUAUGUCAUAUCUAUAAUUUAAAUUUAAAUUGAAAUUUUAGAAAUAGUUACAUAUGUAUCCCGCAAAAUAUCUGAAAUAUUUUAUAUAUCUCUUUUUUUUUUGUUUCAAAUAUGUCCCUUCUAUAUUUCUCCGUUAUUAAAAAAUAUUCCAUUGGUAGUACCCAUUAAGUUAUCUCGGGUUAAAUAUGGUUAAAUUUCUACUAGAAUUAAAAAUAAGUUAAAAUACUAACGUAAUGGCAAAUAAGAAAGUUAUUUACUGAUAAUAUAGAAUAUAUCUGAAAAGGCAAAAUGUCAAAAUACAUAUCUUCUCCCCAACUUAAGGGUAAAAGAAAAAAAUGGUGAUGAAAGAAUAGUAUAUUUAAAAUAGCAAAAGAGUAAAACUUGAGCAAGAAAUGCUACAUUUCACAUCCUAAAGUGGGGUGCACAUUUUAUACCCACUCCAUCUUAAGAUCAUUUUUGUCACAUCAAUUUACAUUUUACACCCGCUCCAUCCUGAGAUCAUUUUUGUGACAUCAAUAUUUUUUAAUUUUACUAAAAAUUAAUUUAAUUUUUAUCAAUUCAAGAAUUACGGAUAUAAGAUGUACACCUUUUUUUUGAAGUGUACAAAAAACAUUUUUCAAAUUGAAUAAUAAAAUUUUUUUUUUAUAUUAACUUUCUACGCAGAGUAAAUAAAAAUGUCUGAAACUUUUUAGAAAUAUAUAAAUAAUUGCGCAUAAAUUUUAACACUUCUGCGAACAAC